GUCCCAAAACUGAUCCCUGCGGAACUCCACAGGUUAUGUUGAGUACAUCUGAUUUCUGACCAUCUAAUUCUACAAAUUGUUUCCUAUCUCCAAUGUAGCUCCUAAUCCAGUUUAAUGGCACCCCUCUAAUGCCAUACCUUUCCAGUUUUUUUAAUAACAUGUCAUGAUUAAUGGUAUCAAAAGCUUUUUUGAGAUCCAGAAAUACACCAAUUGCACAUUUCUUUUUAUCCAUAUUGUCUAUAAUUUCUUCUGUUAAUGCCAUCAGUGCCAUCGAAGUUGAUCUUUUUUCUCUAAAACCAUACUGACAAUCAGUCAGAAUGUUUUGCUUUUCAAUGAAAUUAUCCAACCUUUUACUAAAAACUUUUUCUAGUAUUUUUGAAAAUUGACAGAGAAGUGACACUGGUCUAUAGUUGCUAAUUAUAUUCUUAUCUCCAGAUUUAAAUAGAGGAAUAACCUUCGCUAUUUUCAUUGCAUUUGGAAAUGUUCCAGAAAUGAAUGACAAGUUGCAGAUGUAAGUUAGAGGAUCUGCCACAUCAUCAAUUAUCUGUUUUAUAAGUGACAUGUUAAUGUCCUUCCAGUCCAUUGAUUUUUUAUUGUUACAUUGAUUAACUAUUUCCUUAAUUUCAAUUUUGUCUACUGGUUUCAGGUUGUCUACUGCUUUCAGA
Molecule: long non-coding RNA, 665 nt
Organism: Xiphophorus couchianus (Monterrey platyfish)
Lineage: Eukaryota; Metazoa; Chordata; Actinopteri; Cyprinodontiformes; Poeciliidae
Exons: 4
Source: RefSeq, a predicted model, not a curated record